This 72-nucleotide transfer RNA is filed under the name Phrynosoma platyrhinos (Desert horned lizard). Its description in RNAcentral is "tRNA-OTHER". Lineage: Eukaryota; Metazoa; Chordata; Lepidosauria; Squamata; Phrynosomatidae. The record is from RNAcentral.
GUCAGCGUGGCAUAGUGGUUUGAGCAUCGGACUAGGACUCUGGAGACCAGGGUCUGAAUCCUAGCUCAGCCA